This is an RNA transcript of Bombus huntii, 4360 nucleotides long. It is a transcript of the gene named excitatory amino acid transporter, with no coding region annotated. The transcript is spliced from 11 exons. NCBI's taxonomy places the organism in Eukaryota, Metazoa, Arthropoda, Insecta, Hymenoptera, Apidae. The record is from RefSeq and is a predicted model, not a curated record.
CGGUCAGUUGGGGCUCAUCCUUCGUGAUAAACGUAUCGAAGUCUAAACGAUCAUCAAAAUUCAUUCGAAUACUUUAUUCGCCAUUUUCUUUUAAUUGCCACGUUGACCGACUAAUCGAUCCCGCUCGUUCUACUAUUAAAAAGAAAAGAGUCACGCGAUUCGAGUAAUCUGGUGCAUGCAAACCAGCGAUAUCAGCCCAAGGUGCAAAGUGCUAACUCUAAAAGGUAACUGACCCUGUGCAACAACGCGAACGUUCAGGCAGAAUCAACCAAUUGCUCCGAGAGACCGGUGACCUCGGUAGGAAGAUCGAUCGCAAGCUUUCCUUUCAAGAAAUUCUCUCCCUAUUCAAUACGGCCUGGUUAUCUACCAACGAUCCAUAAAAGAGUAAGUCCUCCGAAGCUUAGAAAACAGAGAACAACCCAUCCCAGUGUUCUUUCAUCCUGAAGAACUUGUGACUUUAAUCCUCUCGCACGUCAAGUGAGCGCGGAUAGUAACGCGAGGCCAUUGGGUUGCGUUAGCGAGGGACCGAUUGAUUCGUCUCAACUUGACUCGAAAGAAGUCGAGUCGAAUCCCUGUACCACGAUCGAGCUGCCGCGCUCUCGCAAGGCCGUCAGGCUAUUGGAACGUCUGGUGGGAGCGCGUGAUUGCUCGUUCCGCACGGAUUUCCCGAAACACCCCCAAAACGGCAACCCGUCGUCGUUGUGGUGUUGCCGGGGCCCCGCCGUUAGCCGCGAGAGAUCGCGAGAAGGGAACUUGGCAGAAUCGGCGGGGCGAUCGCCCAGAGGAUCGGCCUCCUCGUGCGCGACCGGCUCCACCACCACCACCUACGCCGCUUACUGGCGGCCUAGUGAAAUGGAGGAGAAGUCCUCGGCUCGGUUCUCCGAGUACUUGUUCGCCAAGAUGGAUGGCCAGGACGUGUCGGCCUCUCAGGGUCCCCGUAAGGUGACCGCCGACACCAGAAAGUUCAUGCGGGAAAAUCUUCUUCUCAUAGUUACCCUCUCCGGUGUUCUCUUCGGCGUAAUACUCGGGUUCGGUUUACGACCCUUGAGCCUCGGCGAUGACGCAGUUAUGCUAAUCAGUUAUCCUGGAGAGCUCUUCAUGAGGUUGUUAAAGUUAAUGAUCUUACCACUAGUGAUUGCCAGUCUCAUAUCAGGCUCAGCAAGUUUGAACGCAAGAAUGAACGGAAUGAUCGCCGUCAGAACUUUGGUGUACUUUAUACUCACGUCGUUACUGAACGCUGUCCUUGGUGUUGUCCUGGUUCUGCUCAUUCAUCCGGGUAAUCCUGGAAUUAGAAAAUCGAUGGCGACCUCGCACAGCGGGAGAGCCGUUAACAUCUUGGACAGCCUUCUCGAUUUGGGAAGGAAUAUGUUUCCGGAUAAUAUUUUCCAAGCAGCGUUUCAGCAGGCUCACACCGUAUAUGUUCCAAAAACGAUGCCCUUUCAAAAUCUAACCGACUCGAUAUCUUCAGACGUUCUCGGGGACGAUGAAUUGAUGAGAGUAACACAAUACAGAAGCGGCACGAACACGUUGGGCAUAGUAUUCUUCUGCCUGGUGUUCGGCACGUUCUUAGGUACUCUCGGCGAGAAAGGCCAAAUCGUAAUCGACUUUUUCAAAGCUGUGUUCGAGGUUAUCAUGCGAAUGGUGUCGACUGUAAUGUGGAUGACACCGGUAGGCAUCACCUCGGUAAUUGCCGGCAAAAUACUCGGUGUCGCCGAUCUGGCAUUGGUGAUGUCGCAGCUCGCCUGGUUCAUCGUUACGAUCGUGAUCGGUGUGUUUUUCUAUCAGUUGGUGAUCAUGCAGCUGAUCUAUUUGGCCUUCGUGAGAAAGAACCCCUUUAAAUUCUACACCGGCCUCGCCCAGGGUACUCUCACCGCAUUCGCCAUGUCAUCAACGGCUGCUGCACUUCCGGUCACUUUUCGCCUGAUGACGGAUAAGCUUCGAGUCGAUCCUAGAGUCACCAGAUUCGUUCUGCCGAUCGGCUGCAACAUUAACAUGGACGGGACAGCGCUGUUCGUCGCCGUAGCUAGUAUCUUCAUCGCGCAGAUGCAUGGCAUGGUUUUGGGCUUCGGCGAAAUUAUAACGGUUAUUUUAACCUCUACCGCUGCGUCCGUGUCAUCGGCGUCAGUUCCAAGCGCCGCCUUGGUUCUCCUUCUGGUUGUCCUAAGCGCCAUCGAUGCUCCUGUUUACAAUGUCUCUCUUUUAUUCACCAUCGAUUGGUUCGUGGAUCGCAUUCGAACCACGAAUAACAUGCUGGGAGAUUGUUACGCCGCUGCUGUGGUCGAGCAAUUGUCGAAGAAGGAGCUGAUGGCGUUGGAUGCAGCAGCUUAUCAAUCGGAGACCGUUCUGCCAACGACUAUCGCAAACGGAUGCAUUUCCGCCAACAGGGUAUCCGAUCCUGACACCAUCGUCGUCGAAAUGCAAGACGAUACGAGGAUAGCCGGCGUCGCCAAGUAAACAAGCUUGUUGGUAGGGCUAGGCUAUCACUUUGUAAGAUUGCAACGAUCGCGUGCAUUUUCGUUACAUCCUUUAUUCUGCUUUGCUACCGCAAAAUCUCAUGCAAAUCGUUGAUAUUUACAAAUGAUUCACGGCAGGCUUUCCUCAUGCAUCAGCGUAUUGCAGAUACCAAGGAGCGUGACGGAAGAGACAGUUUGACCUGCGCUAACGUUCCAAAAGUUAGUUUAGCUAGCUGCGUACAUAUAAAAUACCAUCGAGUGUGAUGCGUUCAACUGGGAUCAAAAAACAGUACACCGGCUACGCGAAUGUUAUCCUUUUAUCGCAUCUGUUUUCUACUCUUACAGAAUGUGUUCGAAGGAAUUACAUGAUUGCAACCAUAACAGAUAUCAAACAUAAAGUCAAUACGAAAGAGUGUGCUACAUGAUUCGCCAGUCGUUUAGUGCUAUGAUCGUAUAGCAAUAACGAUAACGAAACCAUUUCUAAGCUUUUGUAGUGGCUUCUUCGAGCGAGCUGAAAAUCGCCAGAUCACCGAUUCGAUUGCACUCUGGAGUAUUAACGAUCGCGUGAACAGCGUCGGAUGUGGUGCCUUAUUUUAACGGCGGCGUGUAAAUGGCCGCCCGAAAGUAGUAAAAGCGCUUUUUAUUUGCCAAGCGUAGGGCAGCGUUAACUCAUUGCCUGGUAAAUAUAUCCCGUGACCGAUCAUUGUACUGCCAUAAAAUCUUUUGUACAGUGUGAAUUGUGCGAAUCGAUGAAACAAUUUCACGAAACAUUUAACUAAUCGAGAACCUUUCUUCGUUAUCAGACAAUGAGUGAAACCUUGCAUGGUGCCACGAUGACUUUGUGACGCUUGAUCGAUGUUCCCUUUUACAUCGGAUCUUGAUCGAUUCUUGACAAUUACGUGGAAGAAUAUCGAAACGUUGGUAAAGGGUUUUAUGCAACAUUUUGUGUAGCGUUAGAAUCGUUGUGAUAUGAAUCGAUUAGCACGAGUCACGAUAGUAAUUACUUACAAACGUAUCAUACCAUCGGUUAACGUUUGAUAGAUAGAACAUCGUUAAACACUACCAAUACGUAGACGAAACAUUUCGAAAGAAAACGUAGAUUCCUUUAGCGUUUAUCCUACCGAAUUUCAUAUUUGGACCAUCGACAAACGUAGAUCGGUGUAUAGAAAUCUUUACCGAAGAUAGAUCGACGAUCUUAGAACCGAAGACAUUUUUGUCCGAGAUAUUUGUCGACAAGUACCGAAUCUGCGAUUCUGCCUCUGUUUUCGAUUAAACCUUAGGCCAAUUUCUAUCUCGAGUUACAGUUGCCGACUUUGUAACACAUCCAAGAAGAUGAUUAAAAGGAAAAAAAAACAGAAAAAAGAAAAAGAAAAGAUGACAUAGCGCUCGUAAACGAGAAGUUUCAAGACUGGACAUGCCAUUUAAAUUACAAUGUAUUUAUACCGUUAUAGGAGAAUUCUGCAAAGGAUUCACUAAUUUUAGGCACUAGAAACGUAGGUCGAUACGUGUUCUCUCGUAGAGACUGUUUAAUGUACAAAUUAACUGGAUAAAUAGUGCUUCGUAGCGAGCUCUCCGUCGCUUGAAAAAUAUACACGGGUUCGUCGAGAAACUUGGAAUAAUUUUCGCAACUUCGUCGCCGUUUUCGUUUAACAAUUUUGCUUUUCAGGUCUCCCGGUUGUCGAAUUUGCGUCGAAUCGUUUACCUUCGAGUUUUGCCGUAGCCCAACCGUUUGCGUAACAUUGAUUUUAUUUUUCGUUCAAACUGCGUAUACGAAAGCGCGCUUUGUUCGUAGUCUUAUAAUCUGAAAGAGCGAAUAGAGAAAUAAUUUAUCAAAAUACUUCAAAGACUACAUGUGAAUAUACUUGUAAGGCUCAACGUGUUGUAUUACAAGACGCAGAUUUAUACAA